This 1456-nucleotide ribosomal RNA is filed under the name Methylosinus trichosporium. It matches the Rfam family "Bacterial small subunit ribosomal RNA". Lineage: Bacteria; Pseudomonadati; Pseudomonadota; Alphaproteobacteria; Hyphomicrobiales; Methylocystaceae. The record is from RNAcentral.
UGAACUUGAGAGUUUNAUCCUGGCUCAGAACGAACGCUGGCGGCAGGCUUAACACAUGCAAGUCGAACGGGCGCAGCGCAUGCGUAGACAGUGGCAGACGGGUGAGUAACGCGUGGGAACGUACUUUCGGUUCGGAAUAACUCAGGGAAACUWAAGCUAAUACCGGAUACGCCUUAAGGGGGAAAGAUUUAUUCGCGAAAGAUCGGCCCGCGUCCGAUUAGCUAGCUGUUGGUGAGGUNAAGGCUNACCAAGGCGACGAUCGGNAGCUNGUCUGAGAGGAUGAUCAGCKACACUGGGACUGAGACACGGCCCAGACUCUACGGAGGCAGCAGUGGGAAUAUUGGACAAUGGGCGCAAGCCUGAUCCAGCCAUGCCGCGUGAGUGAUGAAGGCCUUAGGGUUGUAAAGCUCUUUCGCCAGGGACGAUAAUGACGGUACCUGGAUAAGAACCCCGGCUAACUUCGUGCCAGCAGCCGCGGUAAUACGAAGGGGGCAAGCGUAGUUCGGAAUCGCUGGGCGUAAAGCGCACGUAGGCGGAUUGUUCAGUCCGGGGUGAAAUCCGAGGCUCAACCUCGGAACUGCCUNNNAUMCUGCGUAUCUUGAGUCGGGAAGAGGUAAGUAUGACUCGAGUGUAGAGUGAAUUCGUAGAUAUUCGCAGAACACCAGUGGCGAAGGCGGCUACUGGCCCGNNACUGACGCUGAGGUGCGNAAGCGUGGGGAGCAAACAGGAUUAGAUACCCUGGUAGUCCACGCCGUAAACGAUGGAUGCUAGCCGUUGGGGAGCUUGCUGUUCAGUGGCGCAGGUAACGCUUUAAGCAUUCCGCCUGGGGAGUACGGUCGCAAGAUUAAAACCGCUAGGAGUURUUGGGGGUCCCACCGCAGCGGUGGAGUNANNUNGUUAAUNUAANNCCGCGCAGAACCUUACCAGCUUUUGACAUGUCCGGUAUGGUGGUCAGAGAUGACUUCCUUCCGCAAGGGGCCGGAUACAGGUGCUGCAUNGCUNUCGUCAGNUCGUGUCGUGAGAUGUUGGGUUAAGUCCCGCAACGAGCGCAACCAUCAGCCGACUUAGUUGCCAUCAUUCAGUUGGGCACUCUAGGGANACUGCCGGUGAUAAUCCGACGAGGAAGGUAGGGGAUGACGUCAAGUCCUMAUGCGCUUACGAGGCUVGGCUACACACGUGCUACAAUGGCGGUGACAAUGGGAACGACGAMGUGACGCCGAGCUAAUCUCCAAAAGCCGUCUCAGUUCGGAUUGCACUCUGCAACUCGAGUGCAUGAAGGUGGAAUCGCUAGUAAUCGCAGAUCAGCACGCUGCGGUGAAUACGUUCCCUGGCCUUGUACACACCCNCGUCACACCAUGGGAGUNGGUUUUGCCAGAAGUAGUUAGCCUAACCGCAAGGAGGGCNAUUACCACGGCAGGGUUCAUGACUGGGGUNAAGUNNNNACAAGGUAGCCGUA